AUGGAGGCGAUGGCGUCAGAGUCGAGGCCUUGCUGGGUGUAUAGCAUCAGCAGCUUGAUAGCGCACGUGCCCCACAGGGGGUUACACAGAGCAUCCCCCCCCCUCCCCGCGGGCUUUGGCCUAAGUAACCCCGCUUUCCGACCUCAUUUUGUAGCACCCGACAGGACUUUCGGGUUGGAGGCCGGGGCGCCGCUGCACUCAAGCACCGGGGCCGCCGAGGCAGGUGCAUGGGACGCGUCCCCGCGGGGGAAGGAAGCAGCGGCCAAAGAAGAGGCGCUGGCGCCGCGCAGGGAUGCUCACCGGGAUGCUCACCGGGAUGCGCACCGGGAUGCGCACCGGGAUGCCGAUGGGACCGCGACGCAAGAGGAGGAGGAUGCAGCACUGCGGGGGGGAGCAGGGGUCGGGGAGGCCCCCCGGGGGGCGCAGAAGCCCCCGGCCGCUGCGGGGGGACAGCGGGCGGAGGGAAGGGCCAGCCCUCGGGGCCCAGCACCUGCGGCCGGAGCAGCAGAGGAUCCCAGGCCGGCUACAGUGGAGCUAGGCCCCGGGGGAGAAGGGGCUGCCGGAGCCCCCCGCGGAGGUGCGGGGGGAGGGGAGGCUCCCCAAGAGCCGGCCUUGCGGCCCCCGGAGCUGCAGACGCAGGAGGGGGAGGCUGAGGCCGGGCUUGCAGCGCGGGAGCCCCGGGGGGCUGGGACCGCGGGCGCGGAGGAACCGGGGGCGGCGGGGCGCGCGGGGGCUGGGCGGCCAGCGGCUCCGGGGGCGAGCGGGGGACCGGCCAGCGGCACCUCCGCCCCGCAAGGCGCCCCCAGGGCAGCUGCCCGCCCGGGCCCCGACCUCCCGGGAGCGCGCGGGCUUGACGGGGAGGAGCAGGGGUCCGGGGAGGAAGCGAGGCCUGGGGAAGAGGCGCCAGGCUCCCCGAGGGACACGGAGCGGGACGCCGAGGGCCGAGCCCCCGCGGGGCCCCCGGGAGGCGGCGCGGGGAGGGGGGGGCCGGCGGCCGCGAGCGCAGGGGCGCCUGCAGGGGCGCGGCCGCGGGACGGAGGGGAGACGCCCAGCGAAGCGGGGGGCGCGCGGCGCGGGGGCAGAGCGGAGCUGCUUCCCGGGGAGCCCGAGGCCGACCCGGGGCAGGACCCCGACCCGGAGCGCGCGGCGGUGCCGGGAGCUCGGGCGGGAGCGGGACAGGCCCCGGGGCCCGAAGGAGCGGGGCUCAGCGCGGGGGCCCCACAGGGCGUCUCGGCGGGGGGCCCUACGGCGGCGGGGGGCAGGCUGAGCGGAGGCGCUCUGUCCGGGGCCCCGGGCCAGGACGCGGGCCGCGCUGCGGCCACCGUGCUGGGCGCGGGGGGCCCGGAGCGCGGCGGGAGCCCCCGGGGAGGACUCCAGGCCGGAGGGCGGGCGGCAGGCCUGGCGGCACCCGAGACGCAGGCGGUGGCGGAUUUGAAGCCAGCGGAGGGGCAGGCAGGGGCCAAGGAGGGCGCCUCCCCGCCGGGCGCGGCUGGCACGGACACCUGGCACGGAGGGGAGCAGCGGCCCGGGCGGCGGGCGGAGGGCGCGGGGGAGGGGGCGGAGGGGCCCGGCGGGGAGCGGGGGGCGGAGGAGGGCGCAGCGCCCUUGGGGAGGAGGAGGGGGCGGGGGAGGAGGGCGCAGCGCCCCUUGGGGAGGAGGAGAGGGCGGGGGAGGAGGGCGCAGCGCCCCUUGGGGAGGAGGAGGGGGCGAGGGAGGAGAGCGCAGGGGCGGAGGGCACGGGGCCCGGCGGGGAGGAGGGGGCGGGGGCGCGGGCGGGGAGCGCCGGGCACCGCGGGGAGGAGGGGGCAGGGGUGA
RNAcentral lists this long non-coding RNA (1815 nucleotides) under Canis lupus familiaris (dog). RNAcentral describes it as "lncRNA (ENSCAFG00845004669.1)". Lineage: Eukaryota; Metazoa; Chordata; Mammalia; Carnivora; Canidae. The record is from RNAcentral.